GGACUACCAGGGUAUCUAAUCCUGUUUGCUCCCCUUGCUUUCGCGCCUCAGCGUCAGUUCCAGCCCAGAAAACCGUCUUCACCACCGGUGUUCUUCCACAUAUCUACGCAUUUCACCGCUACACGUGGAAUUCCGUUUUCCCUAACUGUACUCUAGUCGGGAAGUUUCAAAUGCAGCUCCGGGGUUGAGCCCCGGAAUUUCACAUCUGACUUUCCUAACCGCCUGCGCGCCCUUUACGCCCAGUAAUUCCGAUCAAUGCUUGCACCCUCCGUAUUACCGCGGCUGCUGGCAC
RNAcentral lists this ribosomal RNA (292 nucleotides) under uncultured bacterium. RNAcentral describes it as "partial 16S ribosomal RNA". The record is from RNAcentral.